This 496-nucleotide ribosomal RNA is filed under the name uncultured bacterium. Its description in RNAcentral is "partial 16S ribosomal RNA". It matches the Rfam family "Bacterial small subunit ribosomal RNA", at positions 28 to 507 of the family's 1533-position model. The record is from RNAcentral.
GAUGAACGCUGGCGGCGUGCCUAAUACAUGCAAGUCGAGCGAACGGACGAGAAGCUUGCUUCUCUGAUGUUAGCGGCGGACGGGUGAGUAACACGUGAUAACCUACCUAUAAGACUGGGAUAACUUCGGGAAACCGGAGCUAAUACCGGAUAAUAUUUUGAACCGCAUGGUUCAAAAGUGAAAGACGGUCUUGCUGUCACUUAUAGAUGGAUCCGCGCUGCAUUAGCUAGUUGGUAAGGUAACGGCUUACCAAGGCAACGAUGCAUAGCCGACCUGAGAGGGUGAUCGGCCACACUGGAACUGAGACACGGUCCAGACUCCUACGGGAGGCAGCAGUAGGGAAUAUUCCGCAAUGGGCGAAAGCCUGACGGAGCAACGCCGCGUGAGUGAAGAAGGUCUUCGGAUCGUAAAACCCUGUUAUUAGGGAAGAAAAUUAGUGUAAGUAACUGUGCACAUCUUGACGGUACCUAAUCAGUAAGCCAGGGCUAACUACGUG